This 479-nucleotide ribosomal RNA is filed under the name uncultured bacterium. Its description in RNAcentral is "partial 16S ribosomal RNA". It matches the Rfam family "Bacterial small subunit ribosomal RNA", at positions 28 to 507 of the family's 1533-position model. The record is from RNAcentral.
GACGAACGCUGGCGGCGCGCUUAACACAUGCAAGUCGAGCGAUGAAAUUUCGACAGAUCCCUUCGGGGUGAAGAUGAAAUGGAUUAGCGGCGGACGGGUGAGUAACACGUGAGUAACCUGCCUUUGACAUUGGGAUAGCCUCGGGAAACUGGGAUUAAUACCAAAUGACACUAACUGAUCACAUGAUCAAUUAGUCAAAGAAAUUCGGUCAAAGAUGGACUCGCGGCUGAUUAGCUAGUUGGUGAGGUAACGGCCCACCAAGGCGACGAUCAGUAGCCGGCCUGAGAGGGUGAUCGGCCACAUUGGAAGUGGGACACGGUCCAAACUCCUACGGGAGGCAGCAGUGGGGAAUAUUGCAAAAUGGGGGAAACCCUGAUGCAGCGACGCCGCGUGAGCGAAGAAGGCCUUCGGGUCGUAAAGCUCUUUUAUGAGGGAAGAUAAUGACGGUACCUCAAGAAAAAGCCCCGGCUAACUACGUG